RNAcentral lists this ribosomal RNA (595 nucleotides) under Pseudomonas veronii. RNAcentral's name for it is "partial 23S ribosomal RNA". It matches the Rfam family "Bacterial large subunit ribosomal RNA", at positions 1190 to 1684 of the family's 2925-position model. Lineage: Bacteria; Pseudomonadati; Pseudomonadota; Gammaproteobacteria; Pseudomonadales; Pseudomonadaceae. The record is from RNAcentral.
ACCGCCGAAACCGUGGCAUUCAGUUUUGCUGGAUGGGUAGGGGAGCGUCGUUCACGAGGUGAAGCCAGCGGGUAACUUCUGGUGGAUUGUGGACGAGUGAGAAUGCAGGCAUGAGUAGCGAAAGACGGGUGAGAAACCCGUCCGCCGGAUGACUAAGGGUUCCAGGGUCAAGCUAAUCUGCCCUGGGUAAGUCGGGACCUAAGGCGAGGCCGACAGGCGUAGUCGAUGGACAACGGGUUGAUAUUCCCGUACCAGUGAAGAACCGCCCAUGCUGAGCCGGUGAUACUAACCGCCCGAACCAUCCCGAACCUCGUCUUUGACGGGGUCGGUGAUGGGGAACGCGGGACCUGAACCGGGGAGGCAAGCGCAUUAACAGGUGUGACGCAGGAAGGUAGCCGGGCCGGGCAAUGGAAAUGACCUGGUCUAAGGGUGUAGGGCUGCCGGUAGGUAAAUCCGCCGGCUGUAUGCCUGAGACCUGAUGGGCGCCCACAUGGUGGGUGAUCCGGUGAUCCUAUGCUGCCUAGAAAAGCAUCGGCGCGAGGUUCAAACUGCCCGUACCCUAAACCGACACAGGUGGUCAGGUAGAGAAUACUAA